AUCCCUGUUAUUCUGACUGAUCUCAUGGAAUCAUGUUGUAUGUCACGCCAGUUCUUACAGCAUUUGGCGUGCUGUAAGUACGCAUUUUCGACCUUUCUCAUGUUAUUCAACGCCAUUUGAUCACAUGUCAAUUUACACCAAGAU
Long non-coding RNA from Sphaeramia orbicularis (orbiculate cardinalfish), 144 nucleotides. RefSeq lists it as uncharacterized. The record is from RefSeq and is a predicted model, not a curated record. Lineage: Eukaryota; Metazoa; Chordata; Actinopteri; Kurtiformes; Apogonidae. The transcript has 3 exons.